UAACAGUGCCGAUAAACCUCC
Molecule: non-coding RNA, 21 nt
Filed under: Arabidopsis thaliana (thale cress)
Lineage: Eukaryota; Viridiplantae; Streptophyta; Magnoliopsida; Brassicales; Brassicaceae
Source: RNAcentral